CUGCGGUUAAAAAGCUCGUAGUGGGAUCUCGGCAAGUAGAGGGCGGUAUGCUUCGUAGCAUUACUGCCCUAUUACUUGUAGUUUUGCCAGAGGUUCCUGGGUGCUCUUAAUCGAGUGUCUAGGGAUGCUGGCAGGUUUACUUUGAAAAAAUUAGAGUGCUCAAAGCAGGCUAUUACGCUUGAAUAUAUUAGCAUGGAAUAACACCAUAGGACUCCUGUCCUAUUUCGUUGGUCUCGGGACGGGAGUAAUGAUUAAGAGGAACAGUUGGGGGCAUUCGUAUUUCAUUGUCAGAGGUGAAAUUCUUGGAUUUAUGAAAGACGAACUUCUGCGAAAGCAUUUGCCAAGGAUGUUUUCAUUGAUCAAGAACGAAAGUUGGGGGCUCGAAGAUGAUUAGAUACCAUCCUAGUCUCAACCAUAAACGAUGCCGAA
This 429-nucleotide ribosomal RNA is filed under the name uncultured marine eukaryote. RNAcentral describes it as "bacterial SSU rRNA". It matches the Rfam family "Eukaryotic small subunit ribosomal RNA", at positions 613 to 1046 of the family's 1831-position model. The record is from RNAcentral.